UACAGAGGGGGCAAGCGUUGCUCGGAAUUACUGGGCGUAAAGGGCGCGUAGGCGGCCUGUUAAGUCGGACGUGAAAUCCCUCGGCUCAACCGGGGAACUGCGUCCGAAACUGGCGGGCUUGAAUUCGGGAGAGGGAUGUGGAAUUCCAGGUGUAGCGGUGAAAUGCGUAGAUAUCUGGAGGAACACCGGUGGCGAAGGCGGCAUCCUGGACCGACAUUGACGCUGAGGCGCGAAAGCCAGGGGAGCAAACGGG
Molecule: ribosomal RNA, 253 nt
Filed under: uncultured bacterium
Lineage: Bacteria
Description: partial 16S ribosomal RNA
Rfam family: Bacterial small subunit ribosomal RNA
Source: RNAcentral